RNAcentral lists this ribosomal RNA (460 nucleotides) under uncultured bacterium. RNAcentral's name for it is "partial 16S ribosomal RNA". It matches the Rfam family "Bacterial small subunit ribosomal RNA", at positions 338 to 795 of the family's 1533-position model. The record is from RNAcentral.
CCUACGGGUGGCAGCAGUGGGGAAUAUUGGUCAAUGGCCGUAAGGCUGAACCAGCCAAGUCGCGUGAGGGAAGACUGCCCUAUGGGUUGUAAACCUCUUUUAUGCGGGGAUAAAUGUGUCCACGUGAGGAUGUUUGCAGGGCCCGCUUGAAUAAGGACAGGCCAAUUCCGUGCCAGCAGCCGCGGUAAUACGGAGGGUCCGGGCGUUAUCCGGAUUUAUUGGGUUUAAAGGGAGAGUAGGCCGGUCUUUAAGCGUGCCGUGAAAUUUUGUGGUUCAACCAUGGGAGUGCGGCGCAAACUGGAGACCUUGAGUGCGCGAGAGGCAGGCGGAAUGCGUGGUGUAGCGGUGAAAUGCUUAGAUAUCACGAAGAACCCCGAUUGCGAAGGCAGCCUGCCGGAGCGUAACUGACGCUGAGGCUCGAAAGCGUGGGUAUCGAACAGGAUUAGAUACCCUAGUAGUC